CGCGAGGAAAAAAGUUCCCGGGCGGCCUGGCUGCGCUCGCUCGCGGCCCCGAGCGCCAGGUGGACCGUGCGCGCCCCGACAGCACCCCCUGGCGGUCCGAGCGCCCCACUGCAGCCCCCCCCGCCCGCGCUCCGGCCGGGGUUGGGGGUGGGGUCUGGCGCAGCCCUGAACGACUCUCACGGGCCCGCCUCGAAGCUGGGGACCCGGGGCCACAGUAGAGCUGAGGAUUUGGGCUCAAAUCCUGCCAUCAGAUGCUUCCAGUCAAUUUCAAAACUCCCUCAGGUGGGUGCCCACUGCCAUCUGUUUGGGAAGCUGCCCCCCACCCCACCCAGCCUCAGGACCAGAUCAGCAACCUCACUGAAGCCUGUUCCAUUGUCCUUUGCUGGAGGUAAUGUUUCCUGCCUGGGGAGAGAGACUGCAGUGGCUGAAGUCUGGAAACGGAGCAAGGUCUAUUUUGGAAUAGCAACCAGAUCUCCAGCUCUUUCACUCGUUCACCCAGCGGUGUGUCACAUUCCCCCCACCUCCCCUAUAUGUGCCCCUGUCCUUAUAGAGGACACAUGUGGCUGCAGAUGGAGUCAUCUGGAUCUGCUGAGAUCAUCUCUGCAUCUCCACAUCCUGAUCACACCUGCAAAGACUCACCCUACCUCUUGCCAUGUUAAAACUCAAUCUCCAAUGUAACAGCAUUGAAGAGUGCUGAGGAUGCCGGGGAUUUAGCUCAGUGGCCUCACAAGCGCAAGGUCCCGAGUUCGAUCCCUGGUACCAAAAGAAAGAAAGAAAGAAAGAAAAGAAAGAAAGAAAGGAAAGUGUUGAGGUCACGAGGCUCUGUCUCUGGAAUGAAUUAAUGCUGCUCUUGAUAAGGAAAUAAUGGAUAACAGGGCAGGCCUCUGUCUGUUGCCAAACCUCCCCCCUCCAUGUUUUUGCCAUAAGUUGUUCUGUUUAAGCAAUGUAACUGUUAAAGGUGCAUGAUGUUCC
This 972-nucleotide long non-coding RNA is filed under the name Heterocephalus glaber (naked mole-rat). RNAcentral's name for it is "lncRNA (ENSHGLG00000036653.1)". Lineage: Eukaryota; Metazoa; Chordata; Mammalia; Rodentia; Bathyergidae. The record is from RNAcentral.